GUGAACUCGAAGAGUAGGGCGGGACACGUGGUAUCCUGUCUGAAUAUGGGGGGACCAUCCUCCAAGGCUAAAUACUCCUGACUGACCGAUAGUGAACCAGUACCGUGAGGGAAAGGCGAAAAGAACCCCGGCGAGGGGAGUGAAAAAGAACCUGAAACCGUGUACGUACAAGCAGUGGGAGCACCUUCGGGUGUGACUGCGUACCUUUUGUAUAAUGGGUCAGCGACUUAUAUUCUGUAGCAAGGUUAACCGUAUAGGGGAGCCGCAGGGAAACCGAGUCUUAACUGGGCGUUAAGUUGCAGGGUAUAGACCCGAAACCCGGUGAUCUAGCCAUGGGCAGGUUGAAGGUUGGGUAACACUAACUGGAGGACCGAACCGACUAAUGUUGAAAAAUUAGCGGAUGACUUGUGGCUGGGGGUGAAAGGCCAAUCAAACCGGGAGAUAGCUGGUUCUCCCCGAAAGCUAUUUAGGUAGCGCCUCGUGAACUCAUCUUCGGGGGUAGAGCACUGUUUCGGCUAGGGGGUCAUCCCGACUUACCAACCCGAUGCAAACUACGAAUACCGAAGAAUGUUAUCACGGGAGACACACGGCGGGUGCUAACGUCCGUCGUGAAGAGGGAAACAACCCAGACCGCCAGCUAAGGUCCCAAAGUCAUGGUUAAGUGGGAAACGAUGUGGGAAGGCACAGACAGCCAGGAUGUUGGCUUAGAAGCAGCCAUCAUUUAAAGAAAGCGUAAUAGCUCACUGGUCGAGUCGGCCUGCGCGGAAGAUGUAACGGGGCUAAACCAUGCACCGAAGCUGCGGCAGCGACACUAUGUGUUGUUGGGUAGGGGAGCGUUCUGUAAGCCUGCGAAGGUGUGCUGUGAGGCAUGCUGGAGGUAUCAGAAGUGCGAAUGCUGACAUAAGUAACGAUAAAGCGGGUGAAAAGCCCGCUCGCCGGAAGACCAAGGGUUCCUGUCCAACGUUAAUCGGGGCAGGGUGAGUCGACCCCUAAGGCGAGGCCGAAAGGCGUAGUCGAUGGGAAACAGGUUAAUAUUCCUGUACUUGGUGUUACUGCGAAGGGGGGACGGAGAAGGCUAUGUUAGCCGGGCGACGGUUGUCCCGGUUUAAGCAUGUAGGCUGAUUGUCCAGGCAAAUCCGGAUAAUCAAGGCUGAGGUGUGAUGACGAGGCACUACGGUGCUGAAGUAACAAAUGCCCUGCUUCCAGGAAAAGCCUCUAAGCAUCAGGUAACAUUAAAUCGUACCCCAAACCGACACAGGUGGUCAGGUAGAGAAUACCAAGGCGCUUGAGAGAACUCGGGUGAAGGAACUAGGCAAAAUGGUGCCGUAACUUCGGGAGAAGGCACGCUGGUGUGUAGGUGAAGUCCCUGCGGAUGGAGCUGAGACCAGUCGAAGAUACCAGCUGGCUGCAACUGUUUAUUAAAAACACAGCACUGUGCAAACACGAAAGUGGACGUAUACGGUGUGACGCCUGCCCGGUGCCGGAAGGUUAAUUGAUGGGGUUAUCCGUAAGGAGAAGCUCUUGAUCGAAGCCCCGGUAAACGGCGGCCGUAACUAUAACGGUCCUAAGGUAGCGAAAUUCCUUGUCGGGUAAGUUCCGACCUGCACGAAUGGCGUAAUGAUGGCCAGGCUGUCUCCACCCGAGACUCAGUGAAAUUGAACUCGCUGUGAAGAUGCAGUGUACCCGCGGCAAGACGGAAAGACCCCGUGAACCUUUACUAUAGCUUGACACUGAACAUUGAGCCUUGAUGUGUAGGAUAGGUGGGAGGCUUUGAAGCGUGGACGCCAGUCUGCGUGGAGCCAACCUUGAAAUACCACCCUUUAAUGUUUGAUGUUCUAACGUUGGCCCCU
Molecule: ribosomal RNA, 1850 nt
Filed under: Klebsiella pneumoniae
Lineage: Bacteria; Pseudomonadati; Pseudomonadota; Gammaproteobacteria; Enterobacterales; Enterobacteriaceae
Description: bacterial LSU rRNA
Rfam family: Bacterial large subunit ribosomal RNA
Source: RNAcentral